CUUCUUUAUCAUUGCACCGCCUGGGAGCCCAUGAAUAGCUGAAGUGGUAAACGGUUAAUAGUAAAACUUGAUUGUGUAAAAGACAGUUUUUGAACAAAGAGCUUGCAAAGCAAAACACAGAAUAAGGCUCAGGGUACGUUAUUAUAAAGCAGCUCGGGCAGUGAAAGGCAGUUGACUGUAUUCUUCUCCGUGAUUGAUUAUAUUAAUAAUGCUGGGAUUUUCUUAGGUGAUAGGGAAUGGUUCCCUACACCAAUUCUGGGAAACGGUUUCAGCUGUGCUUAUGAUUUCCAGAGGCAGAAGGAAGGAAUGACUCCAGUCAAGUUACUCUUGCAGAAUAAGCUACAUUAAAUUUUGUUUGUAUGGCUUAACUGUCACGAAACCAAACUCGAGUCUGUUUGUCUGAACGUAACAAAGCCAAUCUACUCACACCAGGUUGUGGUGAAGGAAAACGGAGCGUUUAUUGCAGGCACCAAGCAAGAAGUCCAGGACAAGCAGUGCUUAAAAGUCCUGAACUCCCCAAAGGCUUUUAGGGAAGGUUUUUAAAGACAGGGUGAGGGAGGGGGUCUUGCGAUGCACGAUCAGCACUCCGACAUUCUUCUGAUUGGUUGGUAGUGAGGUAAUCAGGAAUCAACAUCAUCAACCUGCUAAUUCUAACUGGCCUGGAGUCUGUGUGCUUGUGGGCAGCAGACAGUUAACUUCUUCCACCUGGUAGAGAUUUGGGGAACGUUCAAGGCUGGUCUUCGUUUGUUUUUUAUUUUAACAAACCCAUUUUCCUGAUGGGGAAAUUGAGAAGCAGAGAGAUUACAUGGUUCACCCAAGGCUUGUGGCUGCAAAUGGACCUCCAGUCAAGAGCCAGGCCCCCACGCUCGCACACAUACAUGCUCCAGACGUGGAGGAGGGCAUCGUCCGCCCAAGAUAAGAAAGGGAAAUACGGUAUCCAGGCCUUGCGAGAAGGCUCUCGUUGCCAAUGGUUGAAGCCCAGUUGCCCAUGAAGGGGCCAGAACCCGAUUGUGCCUUGGGGGCUGGGAGUCAGAGUCACAGCCCCACGCACAGUAGCAGGUUCUAGAACUGGCCCUCUGCAUAUGGCUGGAGACUGAAAGGGACUGUGCUUUUGUGAGACUGAAGCAAGCCGCUCCCCCAGUGGCUCUGGGCAGAGUCCUCCCGCAGAAAGUGGAACGGGCCCUCCACGUGGUACAGAAACGCCAAGUGGAGAAACAAGAUGGUUCACCAGAGGAGCCACCCGACUCGUGCUGCAGGCGCACGUGCGGCUCACGCAGGGCAUCUUUAGAGGUUUACUUCUGCUGACCAUGAACUCACGGUGAUGCCGAAGCCCAUGAGACCUGCCUCUCGUGCAACAGCAGGUGCAGCAAAUGGGCCGAUUCAUAUCUGAGAAGACAGGGAAGUCUGGCAUGCUGCGGUCCCUGGGGUCUCUGAGUUUGAAAUUA
This is a long non-coding RNA of Bos taurus (domestic cattle), 1445 nucleotides long. The record is from Ensembl. NCBI's taxonomy places the organism in Eukaryota, Metazoa, Chordata, Mammalia, Artiodactyla, Bovidae.